AUGGCGCCCCCUGCACCCAGGUCAGCGGUGGCCGCCACCCCCCCAGGGCGCCCCCUGCACCCAGGUCUGCGGUGGCCGCCCCCUCCCCAGGGCGCCCCCUGCACCCGGGUCAGCGGUGGCCGCCACCCCCCCAGGGCGCCCCCUGCACCCGGGUCAGCGGUGGCCGCCACCCCCCCAGGGCGCCCCCUGCACCCGGGUCAGCGGUGGCCGCCACCCCCCCAGGGCGCCCCCUGCACCCGGGUCAGCGGUGGCCGCCCCCUCCCCAGGGCGCCCCCUGCACCCGGGUCAGCGGUGGCCGCCACCCCCCCAGGGCGCCCCCUGCACCCGGGUCAGCGGUGGCCACCACCCCCCCAGGGCGCCCCCUGCACCCGGGUCAGCGGUGGCCGCCCCCUCCCCAGGGCGCCCCCUGCACCCGGGUCAGCGGUGGCCACCACCCCCCCAGGGCGCCCCCUGCACCCAGGUCAGCGGUGGCCGCCCCCUCCCCAGGGCGCCCCCUGCACCCAGGUCAGCGGUGGCCGCCCCCUCCCCAGGGCGCCCCCUGCACCCAGGUCAGCGGUGGCCGCCACCCCCCCAGGGCGCCCCCUGCACCCAGGUCUGCGGUGGCCGCCCCCUCCCCAGGGCGCCCCCUGCACCCAGGUCAGCGGUGGCCGCCACCCCCCCAGGGCGCCCCCUGCACCCAGGUCAGCGGUGGCCGCCACCCCCCCAGGGCGCCCCCUGCACCCAGGUCUGCGGUGGCCGCCCCCUCCCCAGGGCGCCCCCUGCACCCAGGUCAGCGGUGGCCGCCACCCCCCCAGGGCGCCCCCUGCACCCAGGUCAGCGGUGGCCGCCCCCUCCCCAGGGCGCCGGGAGCCGCGGCCGCCUCCCUCCCACGGUCUCCCCGCGGGACCCCCUCCCUCUCUCCCUUCCUCUCUCCUGCCCCCCCCAGGCCGGGGACGCUCCUCCUUCCGGGGCCGCCGCACCCGCGACUCUCCGCGUCCGAAGCGGCCGCGCCCCGCCCUCCCCGACUCCCCCUGCCGAGCGCAGCCCCUGGGGGGGACCCGGGGGCGGGGGACCAGGGCCGGGCCGCCCUACCUGCAGCCGGCGUCCCCCGGGGGUCCCCGGAGCCAGCGGAGACUCGGGCCGCAGCCGCGGGACGUCCCGGCGCUCCAGGCCGGAAGCGGGAGCUGCGUCGGCUCCGCCCGGGGGGGAGUGGAGGCCGGAGCCGGGGCGGGCGGGGGGAAGGGGAGGAGGGGGUCAGGGAGGGCGGGGUGCGGGGAGGAGGAGGAGCGGGGAGGGGAGCGGGGAGGACGGAGGGCGGGGAGGGGAGGUCGCGGAGGGGACCCGGGUGCCGUCCCGCCUGCCCCCUGCGGCAAGGUCUCCGCCCCCGACCCUGAGGCGUCCCAGCUCGUCGGGCUCCUAACUGGUCCGAAGGGACUCGGUGACCGUGGGAACCGGGGGAGGGAGCAGGUGUAG
This 1452-nucleotide long non-coding RNA is filed under the name Canis lupus familiaris (dog). Its description in RNAcentral is "lncRNA (ENSCAFG00030007532.1)". The record is from RNAcentral. Lineage: Eukaryota; Metazoa; Chordata; Mammalia; Carnivora; Canidae.